RNAcentral lists this ribosomal RNA (494 nucleotides) under uncultured bacterium. RNAcentral's name for it is "partial 16S ribosomal RNA". It matches the Rfam family "Bacterial small subunit ribosomal RNA", at positions 28 to 507 of the family's 1533-position model. The record is from RNAcentral.
GACGAACGCUGGCGGCGUGCUUAACACAUGCAAGUCGAACGGUGAAGCGCCUUCCUUUUUGGUGGGUGUGGAUGAGUGGCGAACGGGUGAGUAACACGUGAGUAACCUGCCCCCUUCUUCUGGAUAACCGCAUGAAAGUGUGGCUAAUACGGGAUAUUUUGGGUCUGUCGCAUGAUGGGUCUGGGAAAGAUAUUGUUUCGGUGGGGGAUGGGCUCGCGGCCUAUCAGCUUGUUGGUGGGGUGAUGGCCUACCAAGGCGGUGACGGGUAGCCGGCCUGAGAGGGUGGACGGUCACACUGGGACUGAGACACGGCCCAGACUCCUACGGGAGGCAGCAGUGGGGAAUAUUGCACAAUGGGCGCAAGCCUGAUGCAGCGACGCCGCGUGAGGGAUGGAGGCCUUCGGGUUGUGAACCUCUUUCGCCAGUGAAGCAGGCCUGCCUCGUUUGUGGGUGGGUUGACGGUAGCUGGAUAAGAAGCGCCGGCUAACUACGUG